CGCCAAGCAGGUUUGGUGAAGCGAAUGGAAAAGUCGGACAAUCUUCUUGGGGUAUAUUUAGCUCAGUUAAAAGGCUAUUUAUGAUUAAUGAUUUAAUAACUUGGAUGAGAAUGAUAAUUAAAAAAAGAAGGUAUUGCAAUGCACGUUUUAAUGAUGUUUCAUAAAUGGUCAUAGUUUAGUUGAUAUAGUUUUUAUGUUAGUGGAGAUGAUAACCUCUUUCUUAAGUACAACAAUUAUGAGAGCUGAGUAGUACAACAGUAGAGUUCCUUUUCCUUCCUUUUUUUAGUUUAUACUACAGUAACCUCCAGUGGUACGGAACCUAAAUAUUUGGGAAUUUUUGUUUUCUUGAAGGAAAUGUGAUUUUGGUAGUUUAAAGCUGUAAUUGUUGGCUUCAAAACUGUGAUGUAGAUAGAAUUCCUUUUACCUAAAAUGGGUGGAGUCUAUUAUUCACUUAGGUAGCUGUUUCAUUCACACCUUUUUAUUCUCUCUUUCUAAAAUUGAAUCUGGAACUGGGUGACGAACCUGCCCUGCAACUUUUCAGGAUGAAGAGGACAAUUUUGCCAUUGUA
RNAcentral lists this unclassified non-coding RNA (568 nucleotides) under Hevea brasiliensis (rubber tree). Lineage: Eukaryota; Viridiplantae; Streptophyta; Magnoliopsida; Malpighiales; Euphorbiaceae. The record is from RNAcentral.